GACGAACGCUGGCGGCGUGCUUAACACAUGCAAGUCGAACGGAAAGGCCCCUUUGGGGGUACUCGAGUGGCGAACGGGUGCGUAACACGUGAGUAACCUGCCCUUGACUUCGGGAUAACUUCAGGAAACUGGGGCUAAUACCGGAUAGGAAUCCUUGCUGCAUGGUGGGGGUUGGAAAGCUUCGGCGGUUUUGGAUGGACUCGCGGCUUUUCAGCUUGUUGGUGGGGUAGUGGCUUACCAAGGCUUUGACGGGUAGCCGGCCUGAGAGGGCGACCGGCCACAGUGGGACUGAGAUACGGCCCAGACUCCUACGGGAGGCAGCAGUGGGGAAUAUUGCACAAUGGGCGGAAGCCUGAUGCAGCAACGCCGCGUGCGGGAUGACGGCCUUCGGGUUGUAAACCGCUUUCAGCAGGGGCGAAGCUUGUGGUGACGGUACCUGCAGAAGAAGCACCGGCUAACUACGUG
Molecule: ribosomal RNA, 465 nt
Filed under: uncultured bacterium
Lineage: Bacteria
Description: partial 16S ribosomal RNA
Rfam family: Bacterial small subunit ribosomal RNA
Source: RNAcentral